RNAcentral lists this non-coding RNA (28 nucleotides) under Mus musculus (house mouse). The record is from RNAcentral. Lineage: Eukaryota; Metazoa; Chordata; Mammalia; Rodentia; Muridae.
UACCAGGACCAUUCUGAUUUUAUUACAA